Molecule: ribosomal RNA, 329 nt
Filed under: uncultured eukaryote
Lineage: Eukaryota
Description: partial 18S ribosomal RNA
Rfam family: Eukaryotic small subunit ribosomal RNA
Source: RNAcentral
CCCUUAGAUGUUCUGGGCCGCACGCGCGCUACACUGACGAUGGCAACGAGUUUUUCCUUCGCCGAAAGGUGUGGGUAAUCUUUUGAAACAUCGUCGUGCUGGGGAUAGAUCAUUGCAAUUUUUGAUCUUGAACGAGGAAUUCCUAGUAAGCGCGAGUCAUCAGCUCGCGUUGAUUACGUCCCUGCCCUUUGUACACACCGCCCGUCGCUACUACCGAUUGAAUGGUUUAGUGAGGACUCCUGAUUGGCGCCGCCGCCCCGGCAACGGAGCAGCGGACUGCCGAAAAGUUGUUCAAGCUUGAUCAUUUAGAGGAAGUAAAAGUCGUAACA